Molecule: ribosomal RNA, 251 nt
Filed under: uncultured bacterium
Lineage: Bacteria
Description: partial 16S ribosomal RNA
Rfam family: Bacterial small subunit ribosomal RNA
Source: RNAcentral
GCGCUGACGAGUGGCGGACGGGUGAGUAAUGCCUGGGAAUUUGCCCAUUUGUGGGGGAUAACAGUUGGAAACGACUGCUAAUACCGCAUACGCCCUACGGGGGAAAGCAGGGGACCUUCGGGCCUUGCGCUGAUGGAUAAGCCCAGGUGGGAUUAGCUAGUAGGUGAGGUAAAGGCUCACCUAGGCGACGAUCCCUAGCUGGUCUGAGAGGAUGAUCAGCCACACUGGGACUGAGACACGGCCCAGACUCC